UAUGAAGACGUAGCGAAAUGCGAUACGUAAUGUGAAUUGCAGAAUUCAGUGAAUCAUCGAGUCUUUGAACGCACAUUGCGCCCCCUGGUAUUCCGGGGGGCAUGCCUGUCCGAGCGUCAUUGCUGCCCUCAAGCACGGCUUGUGUGUUGGGCCUCCGUCCUCCUCCCGGGGGACGGGCCCGAAAGGCAGCGGCGGCACCGCGUCCGGUCCUCGAGCGUAUGGGGCUUCGUCACCCGCUCUUGUAGGCCCGGCCGGCGCUUGCCGACACAUCAAUCUUUUUUCCAGGUUGACCUCGGAUCAGGUAGGGAUACCCGCUGAACUUAAGCAUAUCAAUAAGCGGAGGA
This 344-nucleotide unclassified non-coding RNA is filed under the name soil metagenome. RNAcentral describes it as "partial contains 5.8S ribosomal RNA, internal transcribed spacer 2, and large subunit ribosomal RNA". The stretch from base 2 to 119 matches the Rfam family "5.8S ribosomal RNA", at positions 36 to 154 of the family's 154-position model. The record is from RNAcentral.